GCGCCAGUGGGCCGGCGGCCUGGGCCUGGCGCUCAGUUUAAAAGCUUAACCGGGACCGCUGGCGGGCUCCGGAAACGAAACGAAAUUCGCCCCGCUGGCCGCCCUCCGGGCCCCGCCAGUCCUUCCGCGCGCCGCGCUCCCCGGAAUCGACCCUUCUCCCGCCAUUUGCCACCGGGCUCUCGCUGAGCCCGCCCUCCCAGGGCUCAGAGGCCUGCAGCCGCCGGAACCGAACGGGCGGCAUGGCGGCAGGCGUGGACUGCGGAGAAGGGGCUAGCGCCCGGCAGCACGUGUUCCUAGUCCCAGAUACUGCAUGUUUUUACAGAUUGACAGAUUGUGGCAACUCUGCGUUGGAGUAUUUAAAAGAUGCUUCAAAGAAGAUGAAAAGUGGGCUUAUGUUUGUAAAACUGGUUAACCCGUGUUCAGGGGAAGGAGCCAUUUACUUGUUCAAUGUGUGUCUACCACAGCUGUUUGAAAUAAAAGUUUUCAAGGAAAAAAACCAUUCUUGGUUUAUAAAUGAAUCAGUUCAAUCAGGAGGUCUUCUUCACUUUGCCACACCCAUGGACCCUCUGUUUCUGCUUCUCCACUACCUUAUAAAGGCUGAUAGAGAGGGAAAGUUUCAGCCCCUGGAACAAGUUGUGAUGGAUGACAUGUUUCCGAAUUGCAUCUUGUUGCUGAAACUUCCUGAACUUGAGAAGUUACUUCGACAUGUGACAGAGGAGAAAGAAAUAGACAAGAAGAAAUAUUACAAGUACAGCAAAGAGAAGACAUUAAAAUGGCUGGGAAAAAAGGUUAAUCAGACUAUGGCAGCGUUAAAAACCAAUAAUGUAAAUGUCGGUGCCCGGGUACAGUCUACUGCAUUUUUCUCUGGUGACCCGGUUUCCAGUGACAAGGAAGAGGAUUAUAUUUGUUAUGCCCAUGGUCUGAUAUCGGAUUACAUCUCUAAAGAAUUGAGUGAUGACUUAUCUAAAUAUUUAAAGCUUCCAGAACCUCCAGCUUCAGUGCCAAGCCCUCCAUCAAAGAAAGUAAAGUUAUCAGAUGAGCCCAUAGAAGCAAAAGAAGAUUACACUAAGUUUAACACUAAAGAUUUGAAGACUGUAAAGUUAUAUCUCCUAACUGGCUAUUUUGUGCAGCUGUAGUUGUAAGGCAGGGUGCCAUAGGAGCCAGGAGAGUGACACCCAACCCAAAGGGCAAAAGGAUGAGAGAAAGGCUACUUAAACUCUUGAAUUAUCACCCCUGUUGAAGCCCUUUCUCCAGGACUAAUCCAAGAUUUGGAGAUCUCCAGAGUUAGCUGCAUUAUACAGUUGAACCUCUUGGUGGAAGGCAAGGAGCUCUGAGUCUAGGAAGGCAAGUGAAAGGCCAUUUGUUAGUGUCCUUGGAAGAUGUCCACAGGCUGUGACCUCAUCUGAAUAAGGCAGAAAUGGUUAGAUUCGUGCACCUUUUGAUACACAGACUUAUAUACUCCUCCAGUUUAUAUACUUCUCAGGGUCAUUAGACUGAUGGAAAGUACCUUAUGUUUAAUAGUACUUUACAGUUUUUACAGCAAUCCUGUAUCAGUAGUUAAAUUAAUCUUUACAGCAACCUUCUAAGGUAGACUGGAAGGGGGGUGUAUCCCUGUUUCAUAGAUGGUCCAAGUGAGGACACCCAGACUGUGAGUGGCCAAGCCCGAGGCUGCCCUUCCACCCUCAAGCCCAGCCCUCUCUUUUGCCUCCCCAAGGUUCUUAUCGUUGUGUAUAUAGCUUUAUGGCCAUUUCUCCUUCAGUAGUCUGUUUUAAUUGUGAAUUUUAUCCUAAGAAAGGAAAAAUCAGAUUUAUUCUGUUUCAUCUUUUUGCUCUAUUCAUAAUGAAUUCUGCAGGUCAAUUUAUCCUCAGCAGUGCUGAGCCAGAAUGAAAGCUUCUACUUAGCUAUUGCAUUUGCAUGCCAAGUCUUUAAUUCAGCUGUCAGCUUUUUAGCAUUUACUGUACUUUUGUUAAUAAAUGUUAUUUUGAUGGUCUCACACUAAUCAAGCCUAUUUGAGACAGGGAGGGGCGGAGGGAAGCACCGAAUGUGAUUUACAGAAGAAUCAGAGCUUCUUUAUGGAUGUUAAGAGAAUUGUUACCUUACACAUGUGCUUUAAUCAGAAUGUGUAAAAUUAAAGUUAGUCAAGUUAUAAGUUCUUUCAAAAGAAAAAAGGAGCCAAGGAAUAAGCUUAGAUUCAUUUAUUCUUUUAAGAGCAUAUACUGAGCACCCGCUUUGUGCCAAAUGUUGUUCUAGGCACUAGGAAUGCAGCUGUCCACAUGGCAAAAAAAACCUGCCUUCGAGAAGUUUCUGAUCUGGGGGGCGGCUAGAUGGAGUGUCAAAUAUUGCCGGGGUCUGUGGAAGAAGCUGAGCAGGGAAGUGGACAGAGUUCUGGUGAGGCGGCUGGUCAGGGAAGGUCUAACCUCUGUCACAUCUUAUCCACUUAUGGCAUAGAAGUCUGAUUUCCAUCAACUUCUUUUUUUUUGAUACCUUAUAUAUAUAGCUCCAGAGUAAAUUGUUUUGACUUUGUGAUCAGUAAGAAACCAGCUUUCAAUAAUUACACUUGUUCCAUGGCAUUUUUCAGGAGGAUAUUAAGGACUACUACUUCCACCAGCAAGUCUAUAUUUAUUUUUUAUACAUUGGAUCUGCAUAGGAAAAGAGAAGAAAACAUGGUUUAAGAAUUAUUCACCUUAGAACUUUUUUUCAUCUGUUUCUUGUAUUAUCAAUUUUUUCCUAAAAUUAGGGUAUCUAUUCCCUGAGUUUGGGCAAGCUUAACAUUAUUUUGUAUUUCACUCCCUUUGAACACUGGAAGGAAAAUGUGCGUCUCACCCACCUCCAGGAGCCUAACAUUAGCCCUAGAAUGA
This is an RNA transcript of Orcinus orca (killer whale), 2858 nucleotides long. It is a transcript of the gene named ribonuclease H2 subunit B, with no coding region annotated. Lineage: Eukaryota; Metazoa; Chordata; Mammalia; Artiodactyla; Delphinidae. The record is from RefSeq and is a predicted model, not a curated record. The transcript has 14 exons.